AGUCAUAUGCUUGUCUCAAAGAUUAAGCCAUGCAUGUUCCAGUAUGAGUUUUCAUAUAACGAAACUGCGAAGGGCUCAUUAAAUCGGUUAUUAAAACAUCGGUGCGUUCUAUAUGGUUAUCCGUGAUAAUUCUACGGUUAAUACAUGUACGGCCCUUCGGGGUGCCUAUAUUUUGUUGAUGGCGUAACAGGCUUGCCUGGUUGUCAUGAAGAAAUUAUCUGUGCUUAUCAUUUCACUGAAAGAAGCUCCGAAUUUAUUUCCGCCCUAUCAGCUUUCGCCGGUAGCGUAGUGGUCUACCGUGGCAGUGACGGGUAACGGGGAAUUAGGGUUUGACUCCGGA
This 340-nucleotide ribosomal RNA is filed under the name uncultured eukaryote. RNAcentral describes it as "bacterial SSU rRNA". It matches the Rfam family "Eukaryotic small subunit ribosomal RNA", at positions 22 to 387 of the family's 1831-position model. The record is from RNAcentral.